AUACGUAGGGUGCAAGCGUUAAUCGGAAUUACUGGGCGUAAAGCGUGCGCAGGCGGUUUUGUAAGACCGCGGUGAAAUCCCCGGGCUCAACCUGGGAACUGCCUUUGUGACUGCAAGGCUAGAGUACGGCAGAGGGGGAUGGAAUUCCGCGUGUAGCAGUGAAAUGCGUAGAUAUGCGGAGGAACACCGAUGGCGAAGGCAAUCCCCGGGGCCCGCACAGACGCACAUGCCUGAAAUGUAGGGGAGCAAACAAGAUUAGAAACCCUGUUGGCCCACGCCCUAAACGAUGUCACCUGGUUCUUGGGGAUUUGUUUCUCAGUAACGAAGCUAACGUGUGAAAUUGACCGCCUGGGGAGUACGGCCGCAAGGUUAAAACUCAAAUGAAUUGGCGGGG
RNAcentral lists this ribosomal RNA (394 nucleotides) under uncultured bacterium. RNAcentral's name for it is "partial 16S ribosomal RNA". It matches the Rfam family "Bacterial small subunit ribosomal RNA", at positions 523 to 918 of the family's 1533-position model. The record is from RNAcentral.